RNAcentral lists this unclassified non-coding RNA (1307 nucleotides) under Hevea brasiliensis (rubber tree). The record is from RNAcentral. Lineage: Eukaryota; Viridiplantae; Streptophyta; Magnoliopsida; Malpighiales; Euphorbiaceae.
GUUCUCCUCUGCCUUCAAAAUUCCGAAGUUAAAACAGGGCACCUUAUCAACUCCUGUCUUAUGAAGUCCAUAGCACACCGUUUUUUAACCAUUUAGUUAAAAACAGGGUAGCUUCUUCAGUGUAAUUGUUUAUUGAGCUUCUCUAGUAGCUCUUUAUUUUGCACUUUGCAUUUGUUGUAAAGUAUGUAAUUGCCUAACCUUGGAGCAAGUAUUCUUUCAUUUAAUCUUAUUAGGCAGUUAUGCUGUGGGGAUUUGUCAAUGCGAAGAAUCUCUUGAAAAGAUCGUAUAUUAGAUAGAAAUUCUCUUGAGCAAUGCUUCCUCAACUUGGACUCUGGUCUGGUAAGUGGUAACCUAGUUCAUAGUCUUCCUAAACUAUUGCACAUAGUCUUAGCAGGAUUAAUGUUGGUGGAUUAAUUGUUGCUCUUGCUUAUUUUUGUAACAUUGUGUGUUUCAAGUUUGAUGGAUGUCAGAUAUUUAGACGGUUUCAGAUUACUAAAAUGCUACUGAGUACAGAAAUAACACAAUCACCAGGCCAUGAACUUCUCAAGUACUGUAAUCCAUCAAAAAGGAACGACUAACGUUGUGAUUCUCUUUUGAAUACCCAAAAAACUGUACAUGAUAAUAUGAAGAACUUGUCACCAAGCAGACCUCCAUACAAUCGGAGACCACACAGACCGAAAGGAUGAUUGGUAAGAGACCAUCACCAAAAGCACCACCACCAACGCCACCAUGCCCCAAGGCAAGUCCCAGCUUCGACGAAUCCUGCCAUAGUGUGCUUUUGUAACAGGAAAAAUGAAACUCUCAAAAUUUGAUAAAAGCUGGGCAAGAAGGAUCAGUAGAACAGGCACGAACAACAGAAACAACUUGAAGUUAAUCACCGUAUGCUGCAUCUGGUCCUUGACGUUAAAAUAGGAUGAAACGAACAGGAGGAGGAAAAUUAUCAAGAAAAUGGCAAGCAAGGGAAAAGGAGGUGGUGAGACAGAGGCUAGAGUCUUCUCUGUCCAUCCUUGCUUCCAUCCCCUUCUCUCUGGCCAUAACCAACCCAUAUCUCUCUCUUCUCUCAGCAACCUUUUUUGCUUGGCACUUCUCUAGGCCUCUGUCCUGCAAGAAUGGGUAUAUGUAGGAGAAUUGAUGGUUGAUAUGUCGGUUCGCUUUAGCAUAAAUUCUGGGGUUUUGAUUCUAGCCCCAACCGAUCCAUCUUUUGGACUUAUGCCUUCUGAAGUGGAUUGAUACGGUUACACUUUCGGCUUUCGCUGCUGUUAUUUUUAUAAAAAGAAAUUGAAAAUGGGUAGAUAAAGAGAAGGAAC